Molecule: unclassified non-coding RNA, 447 nt
Filed under: Hevea brasiliensis (rubber tree)
Lineage: Eukaryota; Viridiplantae; Streptophyta; Magnoliopsida; Malpighiales; Euphorbiaceae
Source: RNAcentral
GCAGUGAUCCGUUUAUCGUAAUCACGGAGGCGAUAAGGGCGGUGAAGUUACAUCUCAAGACUUUCCGCCAACGGCACGAGAAGAAGCUCCCCAAAAUUGUUGAUUACUUUGGGUGGUGUACUUGGGAUGCUUUUUAUCAAGAAGUUACUCAAGAAGGCGUUGAAGCCGGACUCAAAAGUCUUACAGCUGGUGGUAUUCCGCCAAAAUUCAUCAUCAUCGACGAUGGCUGGCAGUCAGUCGGUGGUGAUCCAGAAGUUGAUAAACCAUUGAUGAGACUUACAGGAUUAAAAGAAAACGAAAAAUUUCAGAAGAAAGAAGAUCCAACAUUGGGGAUUAAAAACAUUGUGAAUAUAGCUAAAGAGAAAUACGGCCUGAACUAUGUGUAUGUAUGGCACGCAAUAACGGGUUAUUGGGGCGGAGUCCGACCCGGAGUUAAGGGGAUGGAGG